RNAcentral lists this ribosomal RNA (1040 nucleotides) under Tessarabrachion oculatum. RNAcentral's name for it is "eukaryotic LSU rRNA". It matches the Rfam family "Eukaryotic large subunit ribosomal RNA", at positions 1306 to 1924 of the family's 3401-position model. The record is from RNAcentral. Lineage: Eukaryota; Metazoa; Arthropoda; Malacostraca; Euphausiacea; Euphausiidae.
CUAGCCCUGAAAAUGGAUGGCGCUCAAGCGUCCUCCCGAUACUCGACCGUCGGGGCAGUAACGGCCUUCGCGGGUCUCGAAGCCCCGACGAGUAGGAGGGUCGUGGCGGUGAGCGUUGAAGGGACCGGCGUGAGCCGGCCUGGAGCCGCCGCUAGUGCAGAUCUUGGUGGUAGUAGCAAAUACUCGAGUGAGAUCCUUGAGGACUGACCGUGGAGAAGGGUUCCAUGUGAACAUCAGUUGAACAUGGGUUAGUCGGUCCUAAGCCUCAGCCGAAAGGCGUCUCAGCGCUGGCAAGGUGUCAAUCCCAAUCUCUCUGGAAGGAUCGCCCCGAAAGGGGUUUUUCCCGACCGAGGGGACGCUCCCUCGGACCCCCUUCAACAGGGGUCCGGGAUGGCGUCCUGGUUCCUCCCCCCUCGCCGGGGGAGGGUCAGGCGUUUGCCGAUCAGCCGUUGUAGAUUUGUAGGCGAAAGGGAAUCUGGUACUUAUUCCAGAACCUCGUCCCGGAUAAGACGUCCCCGAGCGCUCGCGCGAGGGUAUAACGGUCCUGGUAACGGGAAUGACCCUGCAUACACUGGCGGCGGUCCGGGGAAGAGUUUUCUUUUUUGUUAAAACUCCGGUGCCCUUGGAAGCUACUCGCAAAGGCGAUAGGGUCGUGGUAGCGUAGAGCGCCGCGGUUCUUGCGGGCGUCCCGUGCGCCGUCGUCGGUCCUUGAAAAUGCAGGCGAGGGCGGAAACCCAAAGGUCGCAGCACUACAUGUUCGUAAAAAAGCAUGGAAGUUGCCUCCGACGGGGUAGUAAGCUCUCUGACGUCGACUGGUAGAAAGGAUUGGAGUCGGACGUGGGACUCGUUCUCUGUCCACCCCUUUGAUCCCCGAACACCAAAUCUCCUGUCCGGUCACGUUGGCGGAGGUAGGGCCCCUCGCGGGCCUGAAACCCCUUCACGGACUUUCGGGCGAGCCCGUACCCAUAUCCGCAGCAGGUCUCCAAGGUGAAUAGCCUCUAGUCGAUAGAUUAAUGUAGGUAAGGGAAGUCGGCAAAUUA